RNAcentral lists this unclassified non-coding RNA (421 nucleotides) under fungal sp. RNAcentral describes it as "partial internal transcribed spacer region". The stretch from base 1 to 46 matches the Rfam family "Eukaryotic small subunit ribosomal RNA", at positions 1786 to 1831 of the family's 1831-position model. The record is from RNAcentral. Lineage: Eukaryota; Fungi.
AAGUCGUAACAAGGUUUCCGUAGGUGAACCUGCGGAAGGAUCAUUAACACGUUAUCCACGUAUCAACCAAUGAGAAAUGUUUUCACGUCUCCCUCUGCGGGGAAUGAGCCGGCAAGUUCGGAGGUGCGUUCGAACGGGGUGUCUUCGGGCGCCUGCACCUCCCUACUCACUGUUGGGCGGCAGCGGUGGCAACACCGCGGUCGUCUGCGACGGCUGUAUCCUGCGGCAGAGAUUAAAACUCCUGGCGUCGCCGUCGCCGUUUGAUAUCGACGGCGCUGGGAAACCCCCCCAAAUUCAUAACCACAUUCACCACAUACUUUUGCUAGUUGACAUUUAAUUUGUAUCGAGCAAUCGAUGCACGUUUAAUACUUAAUUGAACGUUAAAAUAAUACAACUCUUAGCAAUGGAUAUCUCGGUUCUC